GACGAACGCUGGCGGCGUGCUUAACACAUGCAAGUCGAACGGAAAGGCCCUGCUUUUGUGGGGUGCUCGAGUGGCGAACGGGUGAGUAACACGUGAGUAACCUGCCCUUGACUUUGGGAUAACUUCAGGAAACUGGGGCUAAUACCGGAUAGGAGCUCCUGCUGCAUGGUGGGGGUUGGAAAGUUUCGGCGGUUGGGGAUGGACUCGCGGCUUAUCAGCUUGUUGGUGGGGUAGUGGCUUACCAAGGCUUUGACGGGUAGCCGGCCUGAGAGGGUGACCGGCCACAUUGGGACUGAGAUACGGCCCAGACUCCUACGGGGGGAAGCAGUGGGGAAUAUUGCACAAUGGGCGGAAGCCUGAUGCAGCAACGCCGCGUGCGGGAUGACGGCCUUCGGGUUGUAAACCGCUUUCGCCUGUGACGAAGCGUGAGUGACGGUAAUGGGUAAAGAAGCACCGGCUAACUACGUG
This 468-nucleotide ribosomal RNA is filed under the name uncultured bacterium. RNAcentral's name for it is "partial 16S ribosomal RNA". It matches the Rfam family "Bacterial small subunit ribosomal RNA", at positions 28 to 507 of the family's 1533-position model. The record is from RNAcentral.